This 2042-nucleotide long non-coding RNA is filed under the name Homo sapiens (human). RNAcentral describes it as "HSALNT0210370". Lineage: Eukaryota; Metazoa; Chordata; Mammalia; Primates; Hominidae. The record is from RNAcentral.
CCAAUCUGCUGCCAGCACAGCCAGAACACAGUAGGCGGAAGAAGGUGGGAUAGGCUGGCUUGAUGAGCCUUCUGACUUUCACCUUUCUCCCCUGCUGGAUGCAUCCAUCCAUCUCUCCCUCCUGCCUUCAGACAUCAGACUCCAGCUUCUUUGGCCUUUGGACUCUUAGACUUACACUAGUGGUUUGCUGGGGGCUUUCCGGCCUUUGGCCACAGACUGAAGGCUGCAUCGUCAGCUUCCCUACCUUUGAAGAUUUUGGACUUUGACUGAGUCACUAUUGGCUUCUUUCUUCCUCAGCUUGCAGACGGCCUAUCAUGGGACUUCACCUUGUGAUCAACCUAUUUUGGCAGGUAUACAACUUCUCCUGCAGGCUUCCUGGAUUGAUAUGACUGACUCUGGGAUUUCAAUCAAGUGGUGCUGGAGUAGAGUCACAUGACUGCUUGCUGGUCUGUGAGCCUGUUACCAGAUAUCUUUUCUGCCACAUCAAGGUGGAUGGAGUGACUUUCCAUCAAGUGCGUGGGACUGCUUACUACCAGAGGAGAAGGACUGAGGUGUUCUAUCUCUUUCCGGCACAAAUCAUCACUUCACAUAUCCCUUCUAGACAGCAGCUGUAUGAUAGCAUGAUACUUUUUUCUACUUGUUCUGAAGUGUGAACCGGAAAGAGCAGAAAGUGUUAGCCAGAGAAAAGACAUCCCUCUGUGAGGAUGCAUUUGGAGAAAAUGGUUGAUUCCCUUUAAGGAAUCAAGGUUAGCCUGCAGAGCUAAUAAAAGCCCCUUGGGAAAACUUGCCUGAUACCUUGUCUACACACUCUCUGUACAGGAUUGCUAAUCUGUGGUUGUUUUGGGGUGAGAUAAACAUUUAAAUUGGUGAACUUUGAGAGGAAAAUUAGAAGACAAGUAUCCUCAUUUCCACCUGGAUCCAGUCUUUCUUCCUUAUUACUUUUAUUAACAAUAUCAGUUAAGGUUUAUAUGGAUGUCUUGCUUUGGCCUGUACAAAAAACUACUUUGUAUAUGCCUUAUUUUAUUAAUUUUGCUUCUGAAUUUCAUCAAAUUCUCUGAUCAUAACUCUAUAUUCUUGUAAGGAAUGCUCAGAAUUAUACUAUUUCACUCCAAAUUUUAUUAUUAUUGAGACGAAACUGGGUAUAGAAAGUUGUGGGACCAGUUUGUAAUUUAUUGCUUUAAAAUUUGGUCAAGCCACUCAAAUUCUCUAGCUGUACCUAUGAAAUAGCUUUAAUAUUUCAAUCCCCUGCAUUUUCUUUGAAUAAUAUGGAGUUUGAAUUGAAGUGGUCCUGAAUUUGAGUGCUGCAUAUGCUACUUUUGAGAUAUGUGAUCUUGAGCAAGUUGCUUAAUCACAUUAAACCUCAAUUCUCUCAUCUUUAAAAUAGAAAAAAUAAUAGCUACUUUACAGUGUUGAGAAAAGAAUAAGAUGAAACAGUUUAUUAAAAACAUAGAAGAGUGCUUAAGACAUAAUAAAGUCUACAUAAAUUGUGCCUAUUGUUAUUACUAAUAAAAAAAAAAGAAAUUCUACGUGUCAGGAAUUUGAACAAAUUACAGCUGGAUUUGCAUAUUUCUUCCACAAGAUGUAUGUGGUCCCAUCUGAUAAUAGGGAAUUGGUUGGUAACUGGAAUCUUCUUGGAAACCUCUUAAAUCACAGAUCUUGCACUUGUACUGGGAUAAUCUGGAGUGUGUGCUCCUCUGAGUUUGUUGACCAAAUCACCUACAGGUGAACUCUCCAUAUAUGUAUUUUCCUAGUCAAUUCCUACACUGACCUCAAGCAAACACUGAUCAGCUUUCUGUCAUAAUAGAUGCGAUUUACUUUUUUAGAAUUUAAUAAAACUCAAAUUAUACUGUAUGCAUCCUUUUGUGUCUGGAUUGCUUUUUUUUCUCUGCCUUACAUUGUUGAAUAUAUUCUAGGUAUGUUUUACUAAUUGCUUGGUUGUAUAUUAAUGCAUACUGCAUUUUGUUUAUCCAUUCAACUAUUGAUGGAAAUUGGAGUUGUUUUCAGUUUCUGGUUAUAAAUAAAACAGCUAUGAACAUUUACAU